Pelobates cultripes (western spadefoot toad) is the source of this 273-nucleotide non-coding RNA. The record is from the annotation of a GenBank genome assembly. NCBI's taxonomy places the organism in Eukaryota, Metazoa, Chordata, Amphibia, Anura, Pelobatidae.
CCUCUUGCUGGUUCUUCUUGGGAUGGUCCAGGUGGGGAGUGUUUGUAGGGACCGUUCUCACACGUGUGUUUUGUUUAGCUGCAUGUUCAGUGUCCCCGGGCGGGAGUGUUUGUUGCGUGGGGUUUCGGUUCCCCAGCGCUGCCAUUGUAAUUUGCUCGCGUGGGUCUCAUGGGCAUUAUGGCGAUGGCUUGGUUGGCCUCGGGGGGAGGUGAGUAUUUCUCCACUUUGCUUUACUGUUGGGCUGGGAGGCAGGAGCCACUUUGUCAACUGUGG